CGUCCUUAGCUCGGAUUUCGGCCAACCGCGUGCGGUAACACACGGGAGACCAGCUUCCGUCCCUCCGUCCUUARAGGAUUUUGGGGGGACAACSAUUUGUGACACCCAGGCAGACGUGCCCUCAGCCAGAAGGUUUGGGGCGCAACUUGCGUUCAAAGACUCGAUGGUUCACGGGAUUCUGCAAUUCACACCAAGUAUCGCAUUUCGCUACGUUCUUCAUCGAUGCGAGAGCCGAGAUAUCCGUUGCCGAAAGUCGUUUUAUACUUUA
RNAcentral lists this unclassified non-coding RNA (268 nucleotides) under Hymenolobus procumbens. RNAcentral describes it as "sequence contains ITS1, 5.8S rRNA gene and ITS2". The record is from RNAcentral. Lineage: Eukaryota; Viridiplantae; Streptophyta; Magnoliopsida; Brassicales; Brassicaceae.